CCUUUGACGUUAGCGGCGGACGGGUGAGUAACACGUGGGUAACCUACCUAUAAGACUGGGAUAACUUCGGGAAACCGGAGCUAAUACCGGAUAAUAUUUCGAACCGCAUGGUUCGAUAGUGAAAGAUGGUUUUGCUAUCACUUAUAGAUGGACCUGCGCCGUAUUAGCUAGUUGGUAAGGUAACGGCUUACCAGGGCGACGAUACGUAGCCGACCUGAGAGGGUGAUCGGCCACACUGGAACUGAGACACGGUCCAGACUCCUACGGGAGGCAGCAGUU
This 279-nucleotide ribosomal RNA is filed under the name uncultured Staphylococcus sp. Its description in RNAcentral is "partial 16S ribosomal RNA". It matches the Rfam family "Bacterial small subunit ribosomal RNA", at positions 83 to 355 of the family's 1533-position model. The record is from RNAcentral. Lineage: Bacteria; Bacillati; Bacillota; Bacilli; Caryophanales; Staphylococcaceae.